This 392-nucleotide ribosomal RNA is filed under the name uncultured bacterium. RNAcentral describes it as "bacterial SSU rRNA". It matches the Rfam family "Bacterial small subunit ribosomal RNA", at positions 362 to 772 of the family's 1533-position model. The record is from RNAcentral.
UAUUGCACAAUGGGCGUAAGCCUGAUGCAGCAACUUCGCGUGAGCGAUGAAGGCCUUCGGGUCGUAACGUUCUGUCCUCAAGGAAGAUAAUGACGGUACUUGAGGAGGAAGCCCCGGCUAACUACGUGCCAGCAGCCGCGGUAAUACGUAGGGGGCUAGCGUUAUCCGGAAUUACUGGGCGUAAAGGGUGCGUAGGUGGUUUCUUAAGUCAGAGGUGAAAGGCUACGGCUCAACCGUAGUAAGCCGUUGAAACUGGGGAACUUGAGUGCAGGAGAGGGGAGUGGAAUUCCUAGUGUAGCGGUGAAAUGCGUAGAUAUUAGGAGGAACACCAGUUGCGAAGGCGGCUCUCUGGACUGUAACUGACACUGAGGCACGAAAGCGUGGGGAGCAAA